UAGGAAAUAAUAUAAUGGGAGUAUAGAGGGUUUUGAUCUCUUUAGUGUAGGUUCAAGUCCUACUUUCCUAA
RNAcentral lists this transfer RNA (71 nucleotides) under Neodrepanis coruscans (wattled asity). It matches the Rfam family "tRNA". From Rfam's summary of the family: Transfer RNA (tRNA) molecules are approximately 80 nucleotides in length. Their secondary structure includes four short double-helical elements and three loops (D, anti-codon, and T loops). Lineage: Eukaryota; Metazoa; Chordata; Aves; Passeriformes; Philepittidae. The record is from Rfam by way of RNAcentral.